RNAcentral lists this ribosomal RNA (253 nucleotides) under uncultured bacterium. RNAcentral's name for it is "partial 16S ribosomal RNA". It matches the Rfam family "Bacterial small subunit ribosomal RNA", at positions 524 to 776 of the family's 1533-position model. The record is from RNAcentral.
UACGUAGGGGGCAAGCGUUGUCCGGAAUCAUUGGGCGUAAAGCGCGUGUAGGCGGUUCAGUAAGUCUGCUGUGAAAGUCCAGGGCUCAACCCUGGGAUGCCGGUGGAUACUGCUGAACUAGAGUACGGAAGAGGCGAGUGGAAUUCCCGGUGUAGCGGUGAAAUGCGUAGAGAUGCGGAGGAACACCGAUGGCGAAGGCAGCCCCCUGGGCUGACACUGACGCUCAGGCACGAAAGCGUGGGGAGCAAACAGG